Molecule: long non-coding RNA, 1027 nt
Organism: Rhipicephalus sanguineus (brown dog tick)
Lineage: Eukaryota; Metazoa; Arthropoda; Arachnida; Ixodida; Ixodidae
Exons: 3
Source: RefSeq, a predicted model, not a curated record
GCAGUUGGAGCAGAUGUCGAUCAUGUUUACUGUGGUAUGGCACGGCCACCAAGUUCGUGCAUUCUGCAUACCAGGAAACCUGACACGAAGCAACGUAUUGCUGUGAUGGCAGCUAAGUGAGAACGAAUGAGUUUGUCUUCUCUGUCCAUUUGUCAAUACCAUUACACAGGCUUGUUAAGUGCAUAUAAGCGGCUUUAGCAAUGCACUUGCAGCUACAGAGCCAGUAAAGACAGCCAAUUUCAUCAUCAGAGUUCACUCUGCAAAUCCCACUUUCCAUAAAGGGCAUUGUUUUGUGAUAGUUUAAAGUCAAAACUUGCUCAAUUAAACACUUCGUGGUGUCUGACAUUACAGGAAUUAUGAUAAUUGUUAUAUCUCAUGUGAAAUUAUGCCAUUGUUUUUUUUUCAUAUUCUUACUUUGCAUACACACUUUACGACUGCACCCUCCCCAACCGAAUCUUUACUAGUGCUACAUUCUGUUAUGGGUGAAAACAAUUAUUGAACUAAAAACCAGGCCAAUGAAAGCAGUAUGAUGCCCUGUAAUGUAGGAGGAUGCUGCUAUUGCAGUGUUUAGUCUAGAGCUGAAUUUAAUGAGAAAGGGCAGCAAUGUAGGUCAUCUGUGGAUAUUUGCAGACCAUAAUUGUGUUGUGGUCAUUUUGUUAUCGCAGGAAGCAUCUUCAAAAAGCAGUGCUACAAGGAUGUGAGCAGCAGUUUCCCUUCAACGAACGGGUCAAAUUCAUGGAAGCCACGUGCCUGCUGCUUCUGGCCUACACAAACAUGCAGCCACCAUAGUCAAGUUCUUGCAAAGACAUUCUACACGAACUUGCCCAAAGGCAGAAGGAAGGCACGCACAGAUGGACGCACAGAAAUCAUGGGGCUGCCGUAGAAGCUGUGAAUGAGCAUUAACAUACGUACAGAAAGGAGCGAAGUGGAGCUGUCCAUGGGCCGUGCACACAGUUUCAUAAGCAGGCUUGCAACACUUUUGACAAAUAUGUUCCUGAAUACAUCUGCCGAAGUGGCAUUUAAAGAA